RNAcentral lists this ribosomal RNA (557 nucleotides) under uncultured bacterium. Its description in RNAcentral is "bacterial SSU rRNA". It matches the Rfam family "Bacterial small subunit ribosomal RNA", at positions 102 to 694 of the family's 1533-position model. The record is from RNAcentral.
ACGGGUGAGUAACGCGUGGGAAUCUACCCAUCUCUACGGAAUAACACAUGGAAACGUGUGCUAAUACCGUAUACGUCCUUCGGGAGAAAGAUUUAUCGGAGAUGGAUGAGCCCGCGUUGGAUUAGCUAGUUGGUGGGGUAAAGGCCUACCAAGGCGACGAUCCAUAGCUGGCCUGAGAGGAUGAUCAGCCACACUGGGACUGAGACACGGCCCAGACUCCUACGGGAGGCAGCAGUGGGGAAUAUUGGACAAUGGGCGCAAGCCUGAUCCAGCCAUGCCGCGUGAGUGAUGAAGGCCCUAGGGUUGUAAAGCUCUUUCACCGGUGAAGAUAAUGACGGUAACCGGAGAAGAAGCCCCGGCUAACUUCGUGCCAGCAGCCGCGGUAAUACGAAGGGGGCUAGCGUUGUUCGGAUUUACUGGGCGUAAAGCGCACGUAGGCGGACUAUUAAGUCAGGGGUGAAAUCCCGGGGCUCAACCCCGGAACUGCCUUUGAUACUGGUAGUCUUGAGUUCGAGAGAGGUGAGUGGAAUUCCGAGUGUAGAGGUGAAAUUCGUAGA